UUAACACAUGCAAGUCGAGGGGCAGCAUGGUCUUAGCUUGCUAAGGCCGAUGGCGACCGGCGCACGGGUGAGUAACACGUAUCCAACCUGCCGUCUACUCUUGGACAGCCUUCUGAAAGGAAGAUUAAUACAAGAUGGCAUCAUGAGUCCGCAUGUUCACAUGAUUAAAGGUAUUCCGGUAGACGAUGGGGAUGCGUUCCAUUAGAUAGUAGGCGGGGUAACGGCCCACCUAGUCUUCGAUGGAUAGGGGUUCUGAGAGGAAGGUCCCCCACAUUGGAACUGAGACACGGUCCAAACUCCUACGGGAGGCAGCAGUGAGGAAUAUUGGUCAAUGGGCGAGAGCCUGAACCAGCCAAGUAGCGUGAAGGAUGACUGCCCUAUGGGUUGUAAACUUCUUUUAUAAAGGAAUAAAGUCGGGUAUGGAUACCCGUUUGCAUGUACUUUAUGAAUAAGGAUCGGCUAACUCCGUGCCAGCAGCCGCGGUAAUACGGAGGAUCCGAGCGUUAUCCGGAUUUAUUGGGUUUAAAGGGAGCGUAGAUGGAUGUUUAAGUCAGUUGUGAAAGUUUGCGGCUCAACCGUAAAAUUGCAGUUGAUACUGGAUAUCUUGAGUGCAGUUGAGGCAGGCGGAAUUCGUGGUGUAGCGGUGAAAUGCUUAGAUAUCACGAAGAACUCCGAUUGCGAAGGCAGCCUGCUAAGCUGCAACUGACAUUGAGGCUCGAAAGUGUGGGUAUCAAACAGGAUUAGAUACCCUGGUAGUCCACACGGUAAACGAUGAAUACUCGCUGUUUGCGAUAUACUGCAAGCGGCCAAGCGAAAGCGUUAAGUAUUCCACCUGGGGAGUACGCCGGCAACGGUGAAACUCAAAGGAAUUGACGGGGGCCCGCACAAGCGGAGGAACAUGUGGUUUAAUUCGAUGAUACGCGAGGAACCUUACCCGGGCUUAAAUUGCAGAUGAAUUACGGUGAAAGCCGUAAGCCGCAAGGCAUCUGUGAAGGUGCUGCAUGGUUGUCGUCAGCUCGUGCCGUGAGGUGUCGGCUUAAGUGUCAUAACGAGCGCAACCCUUGUUGUCAGUUACUAACAGGUUCCGCUGAGGACUCUGACAAGACUGCCAUCGUAAGAUGUGAGGAAGGUGGGGAUGACGUCAAAUCAGCACGGCCCUUACGUCCGGGGCUACACACGUGUUACAAUGGGGGGUACAGAGGGCCGCUACCACGCGAGUGGAUGCCAAUCCCCAAAACCUCUCUCAGUUCGGACUGGAGUCUGCAACCCGACUCCACGAAGCUGGAUUCGCUAGUAAUCGCGCAUCAGCCACGGCGCGGUGAAUACGUUCCCGGGCCUUGUACACACCGCCCGUCAAGCCAUGGGAGCCGGGGGUACCUGAAGUGCGUAACCGCGAGGAGCGCCCUAGGGUAAAACUGGUGACUGGGGCUAAGUCG
Molecule: ribosomal RNA, 1436 nt
Filed under: uncultured organism
Description: 16S ribosomal RNA
Rfam family: Bacterial small subunit ribosomal RNA
Source: RNAcentral